This 497-nucleotide ribosomal RNA is filed under the name uncultured bacterium. Its description in RNAcentral is "partial 16S ribosomal RNA". It matches the Rfam family "Bacterial small subunit ribosomal RNA", at positions 28 to 507 of the family's 1533-position model. The record is from RNAcentral.
GAUGAACGCUGGCGGCGUGCCUAAUACAUGCAAGUCGAGCGAACGGACGAGAAGCUUGCUCCUCUGACGUUAGCGGCGGACGGGUGAGUAACACGUGGAUAACCUACCUAUAAGACUGGGAUAACUUCGGGAAACCGGAGCUAAUACCGGAUAAUAUUUUGAACCGCAUGGUUCAAUAGUGAAAGACGGUCUUGCUGUCACUUAUAGAUGGAUCCGCGCUGCAUUAUCUAGUUGGUAAGGUAACGGCUUACCAAGGCAACGAUGCAUAGCCGACCUGAGAGGGUGAUCGGCCACACUGGAACUGAGACACGGUCCAGACUCCUACGGGAGGCAGCAGUAGGGAAUCUUCCGCAAUGGGCGAAAGCCUGACGGAGCAACGCCGCGUGAGUGAUGAAGGUCUUCGGAUCGUAAAACUCUGUUAUUAGGGAAGAACAUAUGUGUAAGUAACUGUGCACAUCUUGACGGUACCUAAUCAGAAAGCCACGGCUAACUACGUG